AAACCAACCGGGAUUGCCUCAGUAACGGCGAGUGAAGCGGCAAAAGCUCAAAUUUGGAAUCUGGCGCCCUCGGCGUCCGAGUUGUAAUUUGAAGACUCUAUCUUGGGAUGCGGCGCUGUCGAAGUUCCUUGGAACAGGACGUCACAGAGGGUGAGAAUCCCGUGCGAUGGCAGCCGCGGACCGUGUAAGUUAGUGUCGACGAGUCGAGUUGUUUGGGAAUGCAGCUCUAAGUGGGUGGUAAACUCCAUCUAAAGCUAAAUAUUGGCGAGAGACCGAUAGCGAACAAGUACAGUGAUGGAAAGAUGAAAAGAACUUUGAAAAGAGAGUGAAAAAGUACGUGAAAUUGUUGAAAGGGAAGGGCUUGAGAUCAGACAUGCCUUCGGGCAGGCCAGCAUCAGCUGGAAGGGGCAGACAAGGGCGCCGCAAUGUGGCCUGGCUUCGGCGAGGUGUUAUAGGCGGCGUCGAUGUGUCCACUUCCGGCUGAGGACCGCGCUUCGGCAAGGAUGCUGGCGUAAUGAUCCCCAGCCGC
RNAcentral lists this ribosomal RNA (529 nucleotides) under Hyphopichia sp. RNAcentral describes it as "partial large subunit ribosomal RNA". It matches the Rfam family "Eukaryotic large subunit ribosomal RNA", at positions 62 to 648 of the family's 3401-position model. The record is from RNAcentral. Lineage: Eukaryota; Fungi; Ascomycota; Pichiomycetes; Serinales; Debaryomycetaceae.